CUCUCUUCUCUUAUUUCUAGAGAGAGAAGCUCUGCCUUCUCUCUAGAAUUUCUUCAUCUUCUCCGAUGAGAAGAGUGGUGGCCGGAGGCGGUUUCGGCGCGGUGGCCGAUGGUGGCACCACCGCGCCGGAGUUUUCAAACUCCGCCAAAUCAAAAAUUAUUUACGUUUUUAAACAUCCUUUUUUCUCCUCUUUCCAAAGAUCUACUUAGUUUUCACAAACAAACAACCCAAACUUCUAGAUCUAAGUUCAAACUUUCGAAAAUCUUUUUUUUAAAACAAACCUACAAAAAGUCCGGAUCUGUUUUUUGAGCUUGAAAGAUGGUAACGGUUUGAGGUUUGUGCGAAUUUGAUUGUGUUGGUUUGUGGUUGUUUACGAUUUGUACGGGUUGAGUUGGUGCUGGAAAAUUGUUCUCUGUUAACUGGAUUUUAUUUAGCUCUUUUUGUAAAUUUGGAUUGCAAGAACAAAUGGAAUGGAAUGAAAGUUGUUGUUUGUUUCUUUGUGAACUUCGGUCCCCCCUUUGUCUGUGUGCAGGUGGUUAUAUUUAUAGAGCUGAAUUUCUGUUGCUUGGAGAGGAACACGACAGCCUGUUAAUGAGCUGUGUGUGAGCUGUUUGUGAGCUGGUGGAGAUGCGGACAAAACUUUUAAUUUUAUGGAUAUUAAAAUAAAUAAUAAUAAAAGGAAAUAGAAGAAGAAAAAAAAUGAAAUGAGAUAAAAUAAUAAAAAAAAAAUAAUAAUAAAAAAAAAGAUUAGAAAAACAAAUUUAAAGUUAAAUAAAUAACAAAUGGAAAUUGAGAGAAGAGGGCCCGAUUCGGAACCAAAUAUGAGGUAUUUUAAAA
This 837-nucleotide long non-coding RNA is filed under the name Medicago truncatula (barrel medic). RNAcentral's name for it is "lncRNA gene14477". The record is from RNAcentral. Lineage: Eukaryota; Viridiplantae; Streptophyta; Magnoliopsida; Fabales; Fabaceae.